This 77-nucleotide transfer RNA is filed under the name Flavobacteriales bacterium. Its description in RNAcentral is "tRNA-Gly". It matches the Rfam family "tRNA". Rfam says of the family: Transfer RNA (tRNA) molecules are approximately 80 nucleotides in length. Their secondary structure includes four short double-helical elements and three loops (D, anti-codon, and T loops). Lineage: Bacteria; Pseudomonadati; Bacteroidota; Flavobacteriia; Flavobacteriales. The record is from RNAcentral.
GCAUGAGUAGCUCAACUGGAUAGAGCAUUGCGUUACCAACGCAAGGGCUGUGGGUUCGACUCCCGCCUCAUGCUCCA